UACUAGAUGUCGGAUUUAUUCGGUGUCGCAGCAAACGCAUUAAGUAUUCCACCUGGGGAGUACGAUCGCAAGGUUGAAACUCAAAGGAAUUGACGGGGGCCCGCACAAGCAGUGGAGCAUGUGGUUUAAUUCGAUGCAACGCGAAGAACCUUACCUGGGCUUGAAAUGUGAUAGACCGGCAAUGAAAGUUGCCUUUCCUUCGGGACUGUUACACAGGUGCUGCACGGCUGUCGUCAGCUCGUGCCGUGAGGUGUUGGGUUAAGUCUCGCAACGAGCGCAACCCCUACCAUUAGUUGCCAUCAAGUUAAGUUGGGCACUUUAAUGGGACUGCCUACGCAAGUAGUGAGGAAGGUGGGGAUGACGUCAAGUCAGCAUGGCCCUUACGCCCAGGGCUACACACGUGCUACAAUGGGUACCACAACGGGUUGCCAAGCCGCGAGGUGGAGCUAAUCCCUUAAAGGUAUCCUCAGUUCGGAUAGGAGUCUGCAACUCGACUCCUUGAAGCCGGAAUUGCUAGUAAUCGCGUAUCAGCACGACGCGGUGAAUACGUUCCCGGGCCUUUGUACACACCGCCCGUCAAGCCAUGGAAGCCGGGGGUACCCGAAGUCAGUGACCCAACCGUAAGGA
RNAcentral lists this ribosomal RNA (627 nucleotides) under uncultured bacterium. RNAcentral describes it as "bacterial SSU rRNA". It matches the Rfam family "Bacterial small subunit ribosomal RNA", at positions 814 to 1447 of the family's 1533-position model. The record is from RNAcentral.